UGGGGAAUAUUGGACAAUGGGCGAAAGCCUGAUCCAGCCAUGCCGCGUGUGUGAAGAAGGUCUUCGGAUUGUAAAGCACUUUAAGUUGGGAGGAAGGGCAGUAAGCGAAUACCUUGCUGUUUUGACGUUACCGACAGAAUAAGCACCGGCUAACUCUGUGCCAGCAGCCGCGGUAAUACAGAGGGUGCAAGCGUUAAUCGGAAUUACUGGGCGUAAAGCGCGCGUAGGUGGUUCGUUAAGUUGAAUGUGAAAGCCCCGGGCUCAACCUGGGAACUGCAUCCGAAACUGGCGAGCUAGAGUAGGGCAGAGGGUGGUGGAAUUUCCUGUGUAUCGGUGAAAUGCGUAGAUAUAGGAAGGAACACCAGUGGCGAAGGCGACCACCUGGGCUCAUACUGACACUGAGGUGCGAAAGCGUGGGGAGCAAACAGG
Molecule: ribosomal RNA, 429 nt
Filed under: Pseudomonadota bacterium
Lineage: Bacteria; Pseudomonadati; Pseudomonadota
Description: Proteobacteria bacterium partial 16S ribosomal RNA
Rfam family: Bacterial small subunit ribosomal RNA
Source: RNAcentral